UCUGGAGUUAAAAAAAAAUCUAAUCCUUUUUCCAGAGUUCACUUUUUCAAAUGCUUUAUAAUUAUUACCAUGUCUUUUAAGUUUUUUUUUUUAAAGGCAAAGGGUUAUAGAAUAUUUUAACUUUUAUAUAUAGAAGGAAAAUAGUUAUAUCUCUCACCAUCCUGGUCAAUCUUUCCUAAAUAGUCUCAAGUUUUUCAGGAUUAAGUUGGGUAUGCAACAUAAAUUAAAUUAUAUUGUGGUAUAGCAUUAAUCUAUUUGCCCAUCAUCUGUCUGCCUGACUGACCAUCCCUCCACAUCCAUCCAUCCAUCCAUCCAUCCAUCCAUCCAUCCAUCCAUCCAACUAGUUAUUGAUCCCUACUAUGAUAGGCUGCCUCUAACAUAGACCCAAGUGAUCCUUGACUCCUUUUAUUUAAGUCUGAAUGUAAUUAUCUAUCCUUGCAUGUAGGCUGGACAUAUUAACUCACUUUUAUCACAUAAAAUACAGAGCUGACGGGAUGUCAUUUCAGAUUUUAGGUUACAAAAAGAUGGCAGAUUGCAUCUUGGGCACUCUCUUGUAUGACUUUUUGGAGAAGCCAGUUUUCAUGUUGUGAGAGGCCUGGCAGAGGGGCCCAAAUGAGUUCGCUGGGAAGCGGAUCACAGAAACCAUGAGGCCUAUAAAAGCCCCAGGCUCAGCCAGAGCAGAGCAGAUGAUGGAUGACCAGCUGCAGAGAAGAGCUACCCUUUCUGCUGACAGCAGGAGAUGUCCCAACAACCAGCAGAAGAGAGAAGCUAUCCAUUCUAGGGCCUCUUCUCUGCUGAGAGCUUCAGAAACCUGCAGAGACAUCAAGACUACCAGCUGCAGAGUGGAACAAUCCACUCCAGGGCCACCUCUCUGCUGAGAGCUAAGAAGACAAUGAGAUGACCUGCCUGCUAGGAGGAGCUUCCCUCUCCAGGGUCUCCUUUCUGCUAGGAGCUGAACUCUCAUUGGAACAUCCUGGCUGUGGAAAGGAGCUACCCUCUGCAGGUCUCCUGUGUGCUGUUCUAUUGAUCAAUAAAGCUCCCCUUCAUCUCGUUCAUCCUC
Pan troglodytes (chimpanzee) is the source of this 1060-nucleotide long non-coding RNA. RefSeq lists it as uncharacterized. The record is from RefSeq and is a predicted model, not a curated record. The transcript is spliced from 2 exons. NCBI's taxonomy places the organism in Eukaryota, Metazoa, Chordata, Mammalia, Primates, Hominidae.